This 492-nucleotide ribosomal RNA is filed under the name uncultured bacterium. RNAcentral describes it as "partial 16S ribosomal RNA". It matches the Rfam family "Bacterial small subunit ribosomal RNA", at positions 29 to 507 of the family's 1533-position model. The record is from RNAcentral.
AGUGAACGCUGGCGGUAGGCCUGACACAUGCAAGUCGAACGGCAGCACAGUAAGAGCUUGCUCUUACGGGUGGCGAGUGGCGGACGGGUGAGGAAUACAUCGGAAUCUACUUUUUCGUGGGGGAUAACGUAGGGAAACUUACGCUAAUACCGCAUACGACCUACGGGUGAAAGCAGGGGAUCUUCGGACCUUGCGCGAGUGAAUGAGCCGAUGUCGGAUUAGCUAGUUGGCGGGGUAAAGGCCCACCAAGGCGACGAUCCGUAGCUGGUCUGAGAGGAUGAUCAGCCACACUGGAACUGAGACACGGUCCAGACUCCUACGGGAGGCAGCAGUGGGGAAUAUUGGACAAUGGGCGCAAGCCUGAUCCAGCCAUACCGCGUGGGUGAAGAAGGCCUUCGGGUUGUAAAGCCCUUUUGUUGGGAAAGAAAAGCAGCAGGUUAAUACCCCGCUGUUCUGACGGUACCCAAAGAAUAAGCACCGGCUAACUUCGUG